GACGAACGCUGGCGGCGUGCUUAACACAUGCAAGUCGAACGAUGAAGCGGUGCUUGCACCGUGGAUUAGUGGCGAACGGGUGAGUAAUACGUGAGUGACCUACCUUUGACUCUGGGAUAAGCCUGGGAAACUGGGUCUAAUACCGGAUACGACCAAUCUCUGCAUGGGGUGUUGGUGGAAGGCGUUAUGGAGUGGUUUUAGAUGGGCUCACGGCCUAUCAGCUUGUUGGUGAGGUAAUGGCUUACCAAGGCGACGACGGGUAGCCGGCCUGAGAGGGUGACCGGCCACACUGGGACUGAGACACGGCCCAGACUCCUACGGGAGGCAGCAGUGGGGAAUAUUGCACAAUGGGCGCAAGCCUGAUGCAGCGACGCCGCGUGAGGGAUGACGGCCUUCGGGUUGUAAACCUCUGUUAGCAUCGAAGAAGCGAAAGUGACGGUAGGUGCAGAGAAAGC
RNAcentral lists this ribosomal RNA (455 nucleotides) under Rothia sp. oral taxon 188. RNAcentral describes it as "bacterial SSU rRNA". It matches the Rfam family "Bacterial small subunit ribosomal RNA", at positions 28 to 491 of the family's 1533-position model. The record is from RNAcentral. Lineage: Bacteria; Bacillati; Actinomycetota; Actinomycetes; Micrococcales; Micrococcaceae.